RNAcentral lists this ribosomal RNA (403 nucleotides) under Diploderma polygonatum. RNAcentral describes it as "16S rRNA". It matches the Rfam family "Bacterial large subunit ribosomal RNA", at positions 1970 to 2594 of the family's 2925-position model. Lineage: Eukaryota; Metazoa; Chordata; Lepidosauria; Squamata; Agamidae. The record is from RNAcentral.
UGUCCUCCAAAUAAGGACCAGCAUGAAUGGCCACAUGAGAAAGGAACUGUCUCUUCGGGCCGGCCAAUGAACCUAAACUGCCUGUACAAACGCAGGCAUGCAAAAACAAGACAAAAAGACCCUGUGAAACUUUAAAUGCCCGUCAAACAUAUGAUCAAGGUAUUUUUGGUUGGGGCAACCAAGGAGAAACACAAAUCUCCCCAAUCCGUCACACGGCAAACAGGCCAAAUGACACGCACUUAGACCCAGCAUCACUGACUAAGGAACCAAGCUACUCCAGGGAUAACAGCGCCACAUUCUUAAAGAGUCCGUAUCAGCAAGAAUACUUACGACCUCGAUGUUGGAUUAGGGUACCCCAAUGGCGCAAAAGCUAUUAAGGGUUCGUUUGUUCAACGAUUAAAAU